GACGAACGCUGGCGGCGUGCUUAACACAUGCAAGUCGAACGAAAAGAGGGAAAGAGCUUGCUCUUUCCGGAAUUGAGUGGCAAACGGGUGAGUAACACGUAAACAACCUGCCUUCAGGAUGGGGACAACAGACGGAAACGACUGCUAAUACCGAAUAAGUUCCAAGGGCCGCAUGGCCCAUGGAAGAAAAGGUGGCCUCUACCUGUAAGCUAUCGCCUGAAGAGGGGUUUGCGUCUGAUUAGCUGGUUGGAGGGGUAACGGCCCACCAAGGCGACGAUCAGUAGCCGGUCUGAGAGGAUGAACGGCCACACUGGAACUGAGACACGGUCCAGACUCCUACGGGAGGCAGCAGUGGGGAAUCGUCCGCAAUGGGCGAAAGCCUGACGGAGCAACGCCGCGUGAGGGAUGACGGCCUUCGGGUUGUAAAACUCUGUGAUCCGGGACGAAAAGGCAGAGUGCGAAGAACAAACUGCAUUGACGGUACCGGAAAAGCAAGCCACGGCUAACUACGUG
This 513-nucleotide ribosomal RNA is filed under the name uncultured bacterium. RNAcentral's name for it is "partial 16S ribosomal RNA". It matches the Rfam family "Bacterial small subunit ribosomal RNA", at positions 28 to 507 of the family's 1533-position model. The record is from RNAcentral.